GCGGGAUUAGUUAAAUGGUAUAACUUCAGUUUUCCAAACUGAAAUCGGGAGUUCGAUUCCCCCAUCCCGCACUA
Molecule: transfer RNA, 74 nt
Filed under: Candidatus Nomurabacteria bacterium CG1_02_43_90
Lineage: Bacteria; Candidatus Nomuraibacteriota
Description: tRNA-Gly
Rfam family: tRNA
About the family: Transfer RNA (tRNA) molecules are approximately 80 nucleotides in length.
Source: RNAcentral